AGUCACGUGUGACUCCCUGCAUGUACCGUAUGAAUAAGCAUCGGCUAACUCCGUGCCAGCAGCCGCGGUAAUACGGAGGAUGCGAGCGUUAUCCGGAUUUAUUGGGUUUAAAGGGUGCGUAGGCGGCCUGUUAAGUCAGCGGUGAAAUCUAGGAGCUUAACUCCUAAAUUGCCAUUGAUACUGGCGGGCUUGAGUGUAGAUGAGGUAGGCGGAAUGCGUGGUGUAGCGGUGGAAUGCAUAGAUAUCACGCAGAACUCCGAUUGCGAAGGCAGCUUACUAAGGUACAACUGACGCUGAAGCACGAAAGCGUGGGUAUCAAACAGGAUUAGAUACCCUGGUAGUCCACGCAGUAAACGAUGAUAACUGGGCGUAUGCGAUAUACAGUAUGCUCCUAAGCGAAAGCGUUAAGUUAUCCACCUGGGGAGUACGCCGGCAACGGUG
This 441-nucleotide ribosomal RNA is filed under the name uncultured bacterium. RNAcentral's name for it is "bacterial SSU rRNA". It matches the Rfam family "Bacterial small subunit ribosomal RNA", at positions 454 to 896 of the family's 1533-position model. The record is from RNAcentral.